UACAGAGGUGGCAAGCGUUGUCCGGAUUGACUGGGCGUAAAGGGCGCGUAGGCGGCUUGGUAAGUCUGAUGUGAAAUCUCUGGGCUUAACUCAGAACUCGCAUCAGAAACUGCUUUGCUUGAGUAUAGGAGAGGAGAGUGGAAUUCCUGGUGUAGCGGUGGAAUGUGUAGAGAUCAGGAAGAACACCGGUGGCGAAGGCGGCUCUCUGGUCUAAUACUGACGCUGAGGCGCGAAAGCUAGGGGAG
RNAcentral lists this ribosomal RNA (245 nucleotides) under uncultured bacterium. RNAcentral describes it as "partial 16S ribosomal RNA". It matches the Rfam family "Bacterial small subunit ribosomal RNA", at positions 524 to 768 of the family's 1533-position model. The record is from RNAcentral.